RNAcentral lists this ribosomal RNA (468 nucleotides) under uncultured bacterium. Its description in RNAcentral is "partial 16S ribosomal RNA". It matches the Rfam family "Bacterial small subunit ribosomal RNA", at positions 28 to 507 of the family's 1533-position model. The record is from RNAcentral.
GACGAACGCCGGCGGCGUGCUUAACACAUGCAAGUCGAACGGAAAGGCCCUGCUUUUGUGGGGUGCUCGAGUGGCGAACGGGUGAGUAACACGUGAGUAACCUGCCCUUGACUUUGGGAUAACUUCAGGAAACUGGGGCUAAUACCGGAUAGGAGCUCCUGCUGCAUGGUGGGGGUUGGAAAGUUUCGGCGGUUGGGGAUGGACUCGCGGCUUAUCAGCUUGUUGGUGGGGUAGUGGCUUACCAAGGCUUUGACGGGUAGCCGGCCUGGGAGGGUGACCGGCCACAUUGGGACUGAGAUACGGCCCAGACUCCUACGGGAGGCAGCAGUGGGGAAUAUUGCACAAUGGGCGGAAGCCUGAUGCAGCAACGCCGCGUGCGGGAUGACGGCCUUCGGGUUGUAAACCGCUUUCGCCUGUGACGAAGCGUGAGUGACGGUAAUGGGUAAAGAAGCACCGGCUAACUACGUG